GUGGGGAAUAUUGGGCAAUGGGGGAAACCCUGACCCAGCAACGCCGCGUGAAGGAAGAAGGUCUUCGGAUCGUAAACUUCUAUCCUUGGUGAAGAUAAUGACGGUAGCCGAGAAGGAAGCCCCGGCUAACUACGUGCCAGCAGCCGCGGUAAUACGUAGGGGGCAAGCGUUGUCCGGAAUGAUUGGGCGUAAAGGGCGCGUAGGCGGCCUGGUAAGUCUGGAGUGAAAGUCCUGCUUUUAAGGUAGGAAUUGCUUUGGAUACUGUCGGGCUUGAGUGCAGGAGAGGUAAGUGGAAUUCCCGGUGUAGCGGUGAAAUGCGUAGAGAUCGGGAGGAACACCAGUGGCGAAGGCGACUUACUGGACUGUAACUGACGCUGAGGCGCGAAAGUGUGGGGAGCAAACAGGAUUAGAAACCCGUGUAGUCC
RNAcentral lists this ribosomal RNA (425 nucleotides) under uncultured bacterium. RNAcentral describes it as "partial 16S ribosomal RNA". It matches the Rfam family "Bacterial small subunit ribosomal RNA", at positions 354 to 796 of the family's 1533-position model. The record is from RNAcentral.